RNAcentral lists this ribosomal RNA (497 nucleotides) under uncultured bacterium. RNAcentral's name for it is "partial 16S ribosomal RNA". It matches the Rfam family "Bacterial small subunit ribosomal RNA", at positions 28 to 507 of the family's 1533-position model. The record is from RNAcentral.
GACGAACGCUGGCGGCGUGCCUAAUACAUGCAAGUUGAGCGCUGAAGGUUGGUACUUGUACCAACUGGAUGAGCAGCGAACGGGUGAGUAACGCGUGGGGAAUCUGCCUUUGAGCGGGGGACAACAUUUGGAAACGAAUGCUAAUACCGCAUAAAAACUUUAAACACAAGUUUUAAGUUUGAAAGAUGCAAUUGCAUCACUCAAAGAUGAUCCCGCGUUGUAUUAGCUAGUUGGUGAGGUAAAGGCUCACCAAGGCGAUGAUACAUAGCCGACCUGAGAGGGUGAUCGGCCAGAAUGGGACUGAGAAACGGCCCAAACUCCUACGGGAGGCAGCAGUAGGGAAUCUUCGGCAAUGGACGAAAGUCUGACCGAGCAACGCCGCGUGAGUGAAGAAGGUUUUCGGAUCGUAAAACUCUGUUGGUAGAGAAGAACGUUGGUGAGAGUGGAAAGCUCAUCAAGUGACGGUAACUACCCAGAAAGGGACGGCUAACUACGUG